Molecule: long non-coding RNA, 4018 nt
Filed under: Salmo salar (Atlantic salmon)
Lineage: Eukaryota; Metazoa; Chordata; Actinopteri; Salmoniformes; Salmonidae
Description: lncRNA (ENSSSAG00000094771.1)
Source: RNAcentral
ACAUUGAAAAAAGCUUUUUAAUAUCAACCCCAUUAUUUAAAAAUGUGCAAGUCUUUGUUCAUGUCAUAUCAAGUGAUGAAAUAUUACCUAAAUAUAUUUCUAUCACCAUAUCUGCGUGUUUAACCCCCAGAUUUAUCCAGAUCAAUUAAAAGUGAAUGUGACAAACGCGAGAAAAAAACCCCGAACAAAACAAAAACAAAACAUCGAAUUUGUACAUCCCACAGUUUGAUUUUCAGAGAAUUGUAAGAUUGAUCGAUUAAUUCAAGCUACAGAAGAAAUAUGAUCAAUGCCAUGACCUUUUUUCUUGAAAAAAAAAGUAAGAUUAGGCAAGCUGCUUCCAAAUGAGAAGAACACAAGUCCCUGGAUACAAUUUGCAUAAAAUGAAACAAAGCUACGGAGAACAAGCCAUAUGGGUAUCAGAAAACAUGUAUAUACACGUAGCAUUGACGGUAUAGGCUAUGGCAAUCCCGCUGAAAUAAAAAAUACUAUCUCUCCCCCCUUAUGACUAGCCUAUGUUCCAUAAGCCUUUUCGAUGGCAUUUAUAUAUCUAUUGUACUUUGUGUCAUCUAUAAAAGUCGUUAUAGAAUAAAUUACAAUCUCAACAACAAAAUAAUAAAAUUAAAGUAUUUGAUAAUUAUUCCCAUAUCGCAAUGAUACCAAAACAAAAGAAAGAUGGCAAGGAUUAAAUAAAAUCCUCACCUAUGAUAAAUAAUAAAAUAAUAAUAUAUUAUUCUUAUUAUUAUUAUCAUUAUUAUGUGGUGCCAGGUGACUUGUUUUUGACAAAAGGCCUACGUUGUUUUUAAAAGUUGAUAUAAAAUGUAGGCUACUUAAAUAUCUAUUUCCUUUUGUAAAGGAAUAAUACAUCUUUUAAAUAAAAUAUAUUUCAGGGAGCAUAUCGCCUUCCUUUGCCAAUCUGUGGGCUGAUUCAUUAUUUCGUUGCCAAUCAAUUAGAACAUAAUUACUUAAAGCAUAUAUUUGAUUCAAAAAUAUGUCAGGUGGACAUUAUUGAAAGCCAAUGACAGGACAACAUGUGAAGUCAAUUCUGCCAAUCCAAUUGAAUUCACAUCAAUGAAAUGCCUCUGAAUUUAACAUAAAAUGCGUCUCAAACACAUUACACUGCAAACAACAAGCAUAAUUUCAGCUACAAAUAACUUUAAAUAAAAAUACAAGGUAGGCUAUUGAAACCUAAAAUUGUGUCAAAACCAUUUGGAAUAAAAAAAUAAACAGCUAAAACCUGUUUUUGUUUUGAAAACACCGAAAGAAAAAAAGUGCCUCAGUGAGAAGGAACUAAGCCAUGACUGUUUAGUUAUACAAUAUUUACAAAAAUGAUCACAAUGUUCUGUGAAACUUGGUGAUAUAUCUUGCUCUAGAAAAGUGCCAGGUUACCAUCGCCACGUAGCCCUUCCGUGACCUGACUGCUAGCUGCUGGCCGCGUGGCGUGGAGCGGAGCUCAGUGUUGGCAGCCUUUUGUGUUUAGAACCGCACGUGCUGAUAUCAUUAAGAGAACGAGGAGGAUGAUGUGUUCUUGAGUGCGUUCAAACGGAAUAUCAAAACCAUACGAUUUAUGUGGUAUCAAUUAUUCAAGGAGGUCCUUCGAACUGCUCUUGCCAAUAAUAAUAAUAAUAAUAGGGAUAUAACAAGUAACAGGCAAAAGAAUAAAGCUUUUUCGCCCAUAAUAAUUUGCCUAAACGCCUCAAAGCAAUGUUGAAUGUCAAAACUAACUGGAAAAAUAUGAUUAUCAACCCUCACACAUUGCUCAGCCGAUGCUCAACCCCAGCUGCAUGUCUGGGACAGAGAAAUGGCGUUUAGGCUAUAUUUGACGAAUGCAGCUCUCAUUACUUUUCGUGUCGGACCCACAUGUCCAGAACAAAACAAUGAUGAUUACGCAGCGCCAUGUGUUGAAUACACUAGAAAAGUCGAGAACGUAAACCAUUUUAGCUAAGAAUCUCGAGGCUAGUUUUAAACGAUAAUUCCCUUUACGCCAAAUAUUUUUCACAAUAGGGCUACACCUUGAAACUGCGUCGAGUCACAUUGCAAGGCAUAUCCCCGAACAUGUGUUCUCUUAGCUCUUGAAGAAAACAAUUUCCACUCCAUUGCUAAUGAUAUUUGGGUUUUGAAUGGUAUUCAAUGCAGAUAUUGUGUAAGUAGCCUGCUCAUGCCAUAGGCUAGGCUAUUAUUAUACAGAAAACACCCACUAUCGCUCAUAGUCCAGUGAAAUAUAUAUCAUUUUCAGGAUAAAUCAAAUCAGGAAAAGUCUAAUACUGGUCCGUUAUUGUUCAUUGAACCGGUGUUUGGACUCCAUGAUGUGGCGGUGUGUCCCCAUACACAUCCUCGGUUCCAGGAAGCGGUCCACCGGGAGGAGUCAUCCGUUUCUCUUUCUGUCUCCUGUUACAAAACCAAACCCUCACCACCUCUUUCUCCAGCUGUAGACCGUCCGCCAGGGAAGUAAUUUCCGCCGCUGCGGGUUUAGGACACUUCAAGAAAUGGGUCUCCAAAGCCCCUUUUACGCUUACCUCGAUAGAGGUCCGUUUUUUCCUUUUCCUCCCUUGUGCAGCGAUUUUGUCCAAGCUGGUUGGACUGCCCGAGGUGGAAUCCGCUUCUUCCAACCACUUGUUCAACAAAGGCUUGAGCUUACACAUGUUUUUGAAGCUGAGCUGCAGGGCCUCGAACCUGCAAAUAGUGGUUUGGGAAAACACAUUUCCAUACAGCGUUCCCAAGGCGAGUCCGACGUCAGCCUGAGUGAAGCCCAGCUUGAUCCUCCGCUGCUUAAACUGCUUGGCGAACUGCUCCAAGUCGUCCGAGGUCGGUGUAUCCUCGUCCGAAUGGUCGUGGUGACUCUGUUGCUGGUGCUGGGACGCCUGGUGGCCGUGAUCGCUGAGAUGCGGACUGUGGUGGUCUUCGUGUGCGUCUCUUAGGUUGUGGUGGUGCAUCCCCUGUCCGCUGCCUGGAAUCAGGCCGUUGACGCCGAAUCCGGGCUGUGAAUAAAUAAGGCUCUGGCCAUUGGAUGUUGCCAUGCUGGGUAUGUGGGCUGCGGUAGUUCUCCACGCUCGGGCGUCGUGGUGGUUCCCAUGCGACUGGUGCACCAGGUGGGGCGGUCGCGGCUGGUGCUGGUGCUGCAAGUUGUUGGAGCUGUGCAUCUCGUCUCUGGUGCCCUGCACCGCGGGUUUGAUGUCCUGGUCGCCGAGAGGACUGGUUGACCACGGAGCUCCCUCUCCGUGCGACAGUGCCGUUAUCCACUGGUGCGCGUGGCUGAGCGGGUGACUGUUGCUCUGCAAUGAGUAGUCACUCUGCAACAGGGUCUGCGCGUCCCUGUACGCCGAUGCUUGCUGCAUGCUCCCGGGCUCCGAGUGCACAAUGGAUGCGCUGGAGGCGUCUCCCAGGCACUCUGCCAAGUGGACGCAGCGGCGCGCACCUGCACCCCGCCUCGUCCAGCUGUUCAUUGGACAGAAAUGGCUGAUGGACGUGGUUGUUACUGGCAACAGCCCUCUCAUUGGACGUUGCAGAGUCUCAACAAACACUACCCCUUUCUAGAGAACUGCGAGUUAUGCUGCGGCACCUCUGAAACGUGAGAGACCGAGUGCGGCAUGGAAAACGGAAAGGGGUAUAUGCACUGGCCGAGAUUUUCAAUGGAACUGUAAGGCAUUUACUCAUAUUAAUACGAUAAUGUUUUAAACCAAUAUAUGAAUAUCGUGAUUACAGAUCAUUCGAGUGAUGCAUGCUUCAAAUGCUUUUGUGAAAUUUAUAUUCGAAUACGGUUAUAAAUCUUCGUCUAUUUAUUUUGAGUAAAUUAUGUUUGUAUUUUAUUGUAUUUUAUUGUACUUUUACUUUUUCAGACAUUACAUGUUAUUCAUACUUACAAUAAUUGUGUGGGCAUUCUCAUAUUUUGGACGUUCAGUGUUUUGGGCGAAAACUUUUUUACUUCAAGGAUAAAGUUUUGUUUGAGGUAGUAGGCCUAUAGCUGCAGUUAUUCGGUUUAUACUAUGAGAUUUGAAAUGCAUCCCUUGAUAUUGAAUAGCCU